AGCAGCCGCGGUAAUUCCAGCUCCAAUAGCGUAUAUUAAAGUUGUUGCAGUUAAAAGCUCGUAGUUGAAUUUCGGGGUCAGUAGGUUGGUCAUGCCACUGGUAUGUACUGGUCUCACUGAUUCCUCCUUCCUGAUGAACUGUAAUGCCAUUAAUUUGGUGUUGCAGGGAAUCUGGACUGUUACUUUGAAAAAUUAGAGUGUUUAAAGCAGGCAUUAGCUUGAAUACAUUAGCAUGGAAUAAUGAAAUAGGACGUUCGAACCUAUUUUGUUGGUUUUUAGGAUCAACGUAAUGAUUAAUAGGGAUAGUUGGGGGCAUUAGUAUUCAAUUGUCAGAGGUGAAAUUCUUGGAUUUAUUGAAGACUAACUUCUGCGAAAGCAUUCGCCAAGGAUGUUUUCAUUAAUCAAGAACGAAAGUUAGGGGAUCGAAGACGAUCAGAUACCGUCGUAGUCUUAACCAUAAACUAUGCCGACUAGGGAUCGGACGGUGUUAAUUUUUGACCCGUUCGGCA
Molecule: ribosomal RNA, 509 nt
Filed under: uncultured Glomeromycotina
Lineage: Eukaryota; Fungi; Glomeromycota
Description: SSU rRNA
Rfam family: Eukaryotic small subunit ribosomal RNA
Source: RNAcentral